RNAcentral lists this unclassified non-coding RNA (416 nucleotides) under Centruroides sculpturatus (bark scorpion). Its description in RNAcentral is "nuclear factor 1 X-type-like, transcript variant X2". Lineage: Eukaryota; Metazoa; Arthropoda; Arachnida; Scorpiones; Buthidae. The record is from RNAcentral.
UACAGCGCUGAAAGAUCAUCUAAGCAUCUUUCUUUUCUUAGCAAACUUUGCAGUCUUUAAACAAAAGAAAUAAAUAGAUUUUACACUAGGAAUGCAACAUUUUAAUGUAUCGGGACUUUAUGCGCAUUUAUUCAUCAGAUAAAAUCCUUCAGAAAGUCAACUUUCAUCGUUUCACAUGGUAGCGUGUGGAGCCUUCCUCAGCACUAGUGCCUCUCUUCCAAGACAAGACUGCAUGCCUUUGGAUGAAUUCCAUCCAUUCAUUGAGGCUCUUUUGCCUCAUGUCAAAUCAUUUUCAUACACAUGGUUCAAUCUACAGGCUGCAAAACGGAAAUAUUUCAAAAAACACGAGAAACGUAUGAGUUUAGAAGAGGAAAGAAGGUGUAAAGAAGAACUUCACGUAUGUUAAAAUCAAUCUG